GUACAUCAAUAGAGUGAUAAGAAGAAAACGCUCUCCGGUGCUGUGCUCUGUAAAUAUCACAAAUCACACAGUGGGAACCUGCGAGCAAGGCACACACUUCCACGCCGGUCAAUCUCAUUAGCGCGAACGUGAUGCGUAUGUGUUGUCAUGGAAGGUGAGGACGUUUUACCGUCUAGGGAACAUCAGAAAAUGUGAAAAUGAAUUUCGUUCCUGACCAAAAUUUGAUGUUAUAGACUCAAAAAAAUGAAGAAUAAAGACUAUAUAGACAGAAAAUACAAUUUUUGUUAUUACUAUUUUUUUUUUUUUCCAAUUCUGAAUGAAUAGUCCUAGACGUCUCGUCUCGUCUGUGCUGUCGUGUCAGGUUUUGUAACUUCUCGGAUACGGAUUUAUAUUUUUCCUCGGAGCACUGAAACCUAAUCUGUUGUGAAAUUGUUGAUACUGCUCAACGUGACAAAACGACCCCCCCCCCAGGAGUAACGAUUCACUUUAUAUGAGCCCUUAGGCAAAUUGACGUUGUGCCGAUCGUACACGCGCCAAACGGGCUCGUUUCCAGGCUCUACGUUUCACUAAACACUAUAAAGAUGAAUGUUAGUGCAGUCUUGGUAAGAACAUACUGUCACUCUGCUGUAACAUACGUAAUGAAUAUGCAACGGAUUGCAGAUACUAAAGCGGUGAUCAAAUAUACUGGUGGUGUAUUUGACGUGAUUGAGGUUUACGUCCAGCUUUGAGUAAUGUUUUUUGUUAUUCUUUUCCCCCACACUGUGUUAACCAGGUAGUAAAAAAAAUCACAGCCAACGUAUUUCGAGGAAUGAAAAUGAAUUAGGCAAACGAACAGAGUUGUUCCCUGGUAAUCAUUUUAAAAGUUCUGCUGCCAGUAAAUAAAAUGCAGAGUGCUCAGAUAUGAAAUGAAGCUCUUCGGACAAAAGAGAACCCACUUUCGUUAGCGUGGAAGAGUACGGGGUGCUCACACUGAGCUGCACACGGAGCUGCGCACGGAGCUGCUGGUGUUGGUUGGGGGUUGGUCAGAAUUCCUUCAGGAGGAGAGGAGAGGUGGGGUUUUUUGGUCAGAAUUCCUUUGGGAGUGAGUGGGACUGGUCAAAAUGUGAUCAUUUUAUUUGAUUUCUAUUGUUCUUUUAAUAAUACAGUCACAAAGCAGCUUUACAGGGAUUAGUCAGAGUUCCUUUGCGAGAAGGCAGGAUUGGUCAGAAAUCCGUCUUGAGAGGUGGGAUUAAUCAGAAUUCCUUUAUGAGAGCAGGUGGGAUCAGUCAGAAUUCCUUUACGAGAGCAGGUGGAAUCAGUCAGAAUUCCUUUACGAGUGCAGGUGGAAUCAGUCAGGAUUCCUUUGCGAGUACAGGUGGGAUCAGUCAGGAUUCCUAUGGCAGAGCAGGUGGGAUCAGUCAGAAUUCCUUUGCGAGAGCAGGUGGGAUCAGUCAGAAUUCCUUUGCGAGAGCAGGUGGGAUCAGUCAGAAUUCCUUUGCGAGAGCAGGUGGGAUCAGUCAGAAUUCCUUUGCAAGAGCAGGUGGGAUCAGUCAGAAUUCCUUUGCAAGAGCAGGCGGGAUCAGUCAGAAUUCCUUCAAGAGAACGUGGGAGCAGGAUUUAAAAAAAAGAAAGGAAAGAAACAACAGUUUAAUGCACACCUCUACACCAUAGUAACUCAUGCGGCGUGUUUUGUAUCAUUAUCCUGCAACAUGAAGUGACCUCAAGUUUAGAGUUUGUUUAUUAUUCGAUAUUUGGCCUUUUUAAUGGGGGAAGUCCUUAGAUCAUUUUUUGUGUAAUUUGAGAGUGUUUUUUUCAUUCUAGAACAUGAUGACCUGCUUUACUUUCAC
This is a long non-coding RNA of Ictalurus punctatus (channel catfish), 1826 nucleotides long. Lineage: Eukaryota; Metazoa; Chordata; Actinopteri; Siluriformes; Ictaluridae. The record is from Ensembl.